This 509-nucleotide ribosomal RNA is filed under the name uncultured Acidobacteriota bacterium. Its description in RNAcentral is "bacterial SSU rRNA". It matches the Rfam family "Bacterial small subunit ribosomal RNA", at positions 1002 to 1505 of the family's 1533-position model. Lineage: Bacteria; Pseudomonadati; Acidobacteriota. The record is from RNAcentral.
CGAAUGACCACGGGAAGCCGCUUCCGCAAGGCCCUUGUAGAGGUGCUCGUGCUGUCGUCAGCUCGUGUCGUGAGAUGUUGGGUUAAGUCCCGCAACGAGCGCAACCCUUGUUCCUGUUGCCAUCACGUUAUGGUGGGCACUCUGGAGAGACUGCCGGUGACAAACCGGAGGAAGGUGGGGAUGACGUCAAGUCAGCAUGGCCUUUAUGUCCAGGGCUACACACGUGCUACAAUGGCCGAUACAAACCGUCGCAAACUCGCAAGGGUGAGCUAAUCGGAGAAAGUCGGUCUCAGUUCGGAUUGUCGGCUGCAACUCGCCGGCAUGAAGUUGGAAUCGCUAGUAAUCGCGGAUCAGCAUGCCGCGGUGAAUACGUUCCCGGGCCUUGUACACACCGCCCGUCACAUCACGAAAGCUGGCUGUACUAGAAAUCGCUCCGCUAACCCGCAAGGGAGGCAGGCGCUUAAGGUAUGGUCAGUGAUUGGGGUGAAGUCGUAACAAGGUAACCGUAA